UGCGCAGGCGGUUUUGUAAGACAGUGGUGAAAUCCCCGGGCUCAACCUGGGAACUGCCAUUGUGACUGCAAGGCUAGAGUACGGCAGAGGGGGGUGGAAUUCCGCGUGUAGCAGUGAAAUGCGUAGAUAUGCGGAGGAACACCGAUGGCGAAGGCAACCCCCUGGGCCUGUACUGACGCUCAUGCACGAAAGCGUGGGAGCAAACA
RNAcentral lists this ribosomal RNA (206 nucleotides) under uncultured bacterium. RNAcentral describes it as "partial 16S ribosomal RNA". It matches the Rfam family "Bacterial small subunit ribosomal RNA", at positions 568 to 774 of the family's 1533-position model. The record is from RNAcentral.